UAGGGAAUCUUCCGCAAUGGACGCAAGUCUGACGGAGCAACGCCGCGUGAGUGAAGAAGGAUUUCGGUUCGUAAAACUCUGUUGUUAGAGAAGAACAGCGCAUAGAGUAACUGUUAUGCGUGUGACGGUAUCUAACCAGAAAGCCACGGCUAACUACGUGCCAGCAGCCGGGGUAAUACGUAGGUGGCAAGCGUUGUCCGGAUUUAUUGGGCGUAAAGCGAGCGCAGGCGGUCAAUUAAGUCUGAUGUGAAAGCCCCCGGCUCAACCGGGGAGGGUCAUUGGAAACUGGUUGACUUGAGUGCAGAAGAGGAGAGUGGAAUUCCAUGUGUAGCGGUGAAAUGCGUAGAUAUAUGGAGGAACACCAGUGGCGAAGGCGACUCUCUGGUCUGUAACUGACGCUGAGGCUCGAAAGCGUGGGUAGCAAACAGG
Molecule: ribosomal RNA, 429 nt
Filed under: Bacteroidota bacterium
Lineage: Bacteria; Pseudomonadati; Bacteroidota
Description: Bacteroidetes bacterium partial 16S ribosomal RNA
Rfam family: Bacterial small subunit ribosomal RNA
Source: RNAcentral